UCCUUAGAUGUUCUGGGCCGCACGCGCGCUACACUGACGAAUGCAACGAGCUUAUAACCUUGGCCGAAAGGUCUGGGUAAUCUCCAAAUUUCGUCGUGAUGGGGAUAGAUUAUUGCAAUUAUUAAUCUUCAACGAGGAAUGCCUAGUAAGCGCAAGUCAUCAGCUUGCGUUGAUUACGUCCCUGCCCUUUGUACACACCGCCCGUCGCUCCUACCGAUUGAAUGGUCCGGUGAAGCGUUCGGACCGUGGCCUUUGGACGGUUCGCCGUCUGUUGGCUGCGGGAAGUUCGUUAAACCUUAUCAUUUAGAGGAAGGAGAAGUCGUANCA
This 327-nucleotide ribosomal RNA is filed under the name uncultured eukaryote. RNAcentral describes it as "partial 18S ribosomal RNA". It matches the Rfam family "Eukaryotic small subunit ribosomal RNA", at positions 1470 to 1796 of the family's 1831-position model. The record is from RNAcentral.